UGGGGGAUAUUACACAAUGGGCGAAAGCCUGAUGCAGCGACGCCGCGUGGGGGAUGAAGGCUUUCGGGUUGUAAACCUCUUUCGCUAUCGAACAAGGCCCGCUUAGGGUGGGUUGAGGGUAGGUGGAGAAGAAGCGCCGGCUAACUACGUGCCAGCAGCCGCGGUAAUACGUAGGGCGCGAGCGUUGUCCGGAAUUAUUGGGCGUAAAGGGCUUGUAGGCGGCUUGUUGCGCCUGCUGUGAAAACGCGGGGCUUAACUUCGCGCGUGCAGUGGGUACGGGCAGGCUUGAGUGUGGUAGGGGUGACUGGAAUUCCAGGUGUAGCAGUGGAAUGCGCAGAUAUCUGGAGGAACACCGAUGGCGAAGGCAGGUCACUGGGCCAUUACUGACGCUGAGGAGCGAAAGCAUGGGUAGCGAACAGG
This 420-nucleotide ribosomal RNA is filed under the name bacterium. RNAcentral's name for it is "partial 16S ribosomal RNA". It matches the Rfam family "Bacterial small subunit ribosomal RNA", at positions 355 to 776 of the family's 1533-position model. The record is from RNAcentral.